RNAcentral lists this ribosomal RNA (424 nucleotides) under uncultured bacterium. Its description in RNAcentral is "partial 23S ribosomal RNA". The record is from RNAcentral.
UCCCCUAUCCCGUGUCGUGCCUUCGCCACCAGCUNACACGACGUUCGUUAUUAGGUACGACGGCGGACGUAGUACUCUGUCGNGGUAGAGUACGCAGUGAGGUGCGAGACCGAAGGAACCUAUAGUAGAGGNUAAUAUAAGCAGAGUAGGACGAACCGGACCGGAACGGUNUACCUACUACCAUGUCGAAGUUGAGUUACGACGAAAGCGAAGCGGAACGACCGACNCACUGUACGGUAGGAAGGUGCGAGUGUGGUGGUGGGAAGGAAUAACUACACGACCGGAACGAGAUGUGUUCGUCCUCAAGAAUGUCGUUAGGCUCGCCGACGAACAACUACUGGGUUAGGGAGCACUGUUCGGUCGUAGGNGGGUCAUCCCGACUUACCAAACCGAUGCAAACUCCGAAUACCAAUGAGUACUAUCC